This 314-nucleotide long non-coding RNA is filed under the name Hordeum vulgare. RNAcentral's name for it is "long non-coding RNA (HVUL_LNC016648)". The record is from RNAcentral. Lineage: Eukaryota; Viridiplantae; Streptophyta; Magnoliopsida; Poales; Poaceae.
UUCCUUUAUCAGCAAAACAUACAUGUUUUUAUCAACAAAUAGGUUCCCUGCUAUAAAACUACCUGUUAAUCUCAAUUCCUGAGUUCUCAGCCAACAUAAGCAUCGACAAGAUCAGGAGCACCGACUAAAAUACACUAUCGGCAAAAACAAAUGGAAGGCAAGAUGCCAAUCAAUCAUCCAUUGCUAGUAAGUGAGAAUGCAAGGAGAACAAACAGGAGGGUGAAUGUUGCCAAGGACCAAGGAGGCAUCCCUAUAUCUUAUAGACAAUGAAAGUAAAACCGCAGGAAAUUCUUUACAUGAAAGUAAUAAACCAC